UUGGACUCACGUUUCAAGUUUGAGUUUGUUGAGUUUUGUUAAAAAAAAGUUGAUGACCCAACAGUUGCAACAAGAAAGUUGGAGUCAGUCAAACAGGAGUUGUAUAAGCUUUUUGUUGCUUAUGAGGGUCUACAUUGCAAUGAAGUUCCCGCCAGCCCUUCGGUACAAACUAGUAGUCCUAAUAUCCUUGGAGAUGAUAUUUGUGAAUUUGACCACUUCAAGAGUGACUUUAGUGCUACUAAGAAGCUCGAAUUGGAUACUUAUUUGGGAGAGGCAAGGUUUGAUCGCAUCAAAUUUUGCAAUAUGGAUAUCCUAGACCAUUGGAAUAAAAAUUGUGAUCGAUACUCGAUAAUUUCCAUAAUGGCCUGUGAUAUUAUGAGUAUACCAAUAACAACUUUUACCUCGGAGUCCAGUUUCAGUGUUGGCAGCAAAGUGCUCAGUAAAUAUCGAAGCUCACUUCUACCAAAGAAUGCACAGUCUUUGAUAUGCACUUGGACAUGGAUUUCUGGAUUUAAAGUUAAAGUUUAAAUUGUAGAAGACGAAACUGAUGAUGAUUAGCUUCUUAUGCCGUUAACCCAAGCAGAGAUUAGGGAAUCAAGGGCGUCUUCUAACACCGUCAUUGUGCAAUAGAAUUUGUCAAUUCGGUUGAACAAUUCUAUCGCUAUUUUUGUUUACU
This is a long non-coding RNA of Pistacia vera, 676 nucleotides long. RefSeq lists it as uncharacterized. The transcript is spliced from 3 exons. NCBI's taxonomy places the organism in Eukaryota, Viridiplantae, Streptophyta, Magnoliopsida, Sapindales, Anacardiaceae. The record is from RefSeq and is a predicted model, not a curated record.